ACGACGCUGGCGGCGUGCUUAACACAUGCAAGUCGAACGGAGAAUUUAUUUCGGUAAAUUCUUAGUGGCGAACGGGUGAGUAACGCGUGGGGCAACCUGCCCUUCAGAUGGGGACAACAUCCCGAAAGGGGUGCUAAUACCGAAUACGAUCACGCUGCCGCAUGGCGGUGUGAUGAAAGAUGGCCUCUAUUUAUAAGCUAUCGCUGAAGGAUGGGCCUGCGUCUGAUUAGCUAGUUGGUGGGGUAACGGCCUACCAAGGCGAUGAUCAGUAGCCGGUCUGAGAGGAUGAACGGCCACAUUGGGACUGAGACACGGCCCAAACUCCUACGGGAGGCAGCAGUGGGGAAUAUUCCGCAAUGGACGAAAGUCUGACGGAGCAACGCCGCGUGAGUGAUGAAGGUUUUCGGACUGUAAAGCUCUGUUGUUUAGGACGAAAGUGCCUGUUGCAAAUAGUUGCAGGUAUUGACGGUACUGAACGAGGAAGCCACGGCUAACUACGUG
This 501-nucleotide ribosomal RNA is filed under the name uncultured bacterium. RNAcentral describes it as "bacterial SSU rRNA". It matches the Rfam family "Bacterial small subunit ribosomal RNA", at positions 33 to 507 of the family's 1533-position model. The record is from RNAcentral.